AUAAGAAAGAGGUUGCGGCCAGCAAAGUGAUAAAUUUAAAUGUCUAAUUGGGAAUGCCUCACAAUUGUGAGAGAUUGAUCAGCAGCUCUAGCAGUCUGAGCUCCAAACUCCAAAGUGCGAGUCGUAGAAACAUAAAAAAACUCCCCGAAUAGUCAUAAAAUUUGUUGUUUUUUUUCUGCGGAGGAGCAUUCAUUUUCAAAGUGGCUACCGGACAGGAUUGCAUUUACAUUUACGAGCCGAGGUGGCAAGGAACUCAUUCCCCAGCAGAUGGCACCUCCAUUAGCCGAAGGGCAGUGGCCAAUGGGUCGGAAAUAGAUAUGGAUAAAGGCCUUAAUCUGUGCGAAAUGUAUUAGAGAGCAGAACGAACGCAUUGGCACGGAGCGGAGAGCGUAGAGAACUGCAAAGUGUUGGCAAACAAAAAGUCCAGGUUCAAUUAGCAUACCACGGCGGUGAGCCAUAGAGGAUGGUUCGGUUCUCCUCCAGUCCCCCCAACCUCACUUCACUCUUUUUCCACUCGUGGGACUGCGACUGUAACUGGGACCUGGCCCAAGCUGAGAAUUUUAUGACAGGUUAAUGACACAACUACGACAACGAUGGCGGUGAUGAUGAUGAAGCCUGGGCGGCACUGCAUUGCAAAAAUAAAUAAAAUCCUACUGCAUUCUUGUUUAAUAAACCAAUUUAUUACAAGUUAAUAGCAAUGUUCUUCUAAAAGAGGAAGAGAAGCUCUAUAA
Molecule: long non-coding RNA, 731 nt
Organism: Drosophila rhopaloa
Lineage: Eukaryota; Metazoa; Arthropoda; Insecta; Diptera; Drosophilidae
Exons: 3
Source: RefSeq, a predicted model, not a curated record